Molecule: ribosomal RNA, 1320 nt
Filed under: uncultured prokaryote
Description: partial 16S ribosomal RNA
Rfam family: Bacterial small subunit ribosomal RNA
Source: RNAcentral
CCGGAUGAAGGCUGGCGGUGCCCUAAUACAUGCAAGUCGAACGAGAAACUGGAUUUAUUCAGUGGAAAGUGGCGGACGAGCGAGUAACACGUAAGUAGUUGCCUUGUACUCAGGGAUAACUAGUCGAAAGAUUAGCUAAUACCGGAUGGUCCCGAAAGGGUAAAGAUUUAUCGGUACAAGAGACGCUUGCGGCCUAUCAGCUAGUUGGUGAGGUAAAGGCUUACCAAGGCGAUGACGGGUACCUGGUGUGAGAGCAUGACCAGGCGCGAUGGGACUGAGACACGGCCCAUACUCCUACGGGAGGCAGCAGUAGAGAAUCUUCCGCAAUGGACGAAAGUCUGACGGAGCGACACCGCGUGGUGGAUGAAGCUUUUCGGAGUGUAAACACCUUUUAUGAGGGAAGAAAAUCUGACGGUACCUCAUGAAUAAGGACCGGCUAAUUACGUGCCAGCAGCCGCGGUAAUACGUAAGGUCCAAGCGUUAACCGGAAUUAUUGGGCGUAAAGCGUCCGCAGGCGGUUUGCCAAGUUGAUUAUUAAAUACCGACGCUCAACGUCGGUGCUGUAGUCAAAACUGGUAAACUAGAGAUAUGGAGAGGUGCGUGGAAUUGUGCAAGUAGGGGUAAAAUCCGUAGAUAUGCACAGGAACACCAAAAGCGAAGGCAGCAUACUGGACCAUUUCUGACGCUCAGGGACGAAAGCGUAGGUAGCAAAAGGGAUUAGAUACCCCUGUAGUCUACGCCGUAAACGAUGCAUGCUCGGUGUAGGGACCCUCGACCUGGUCUCUGUGCCCAAGGUAACCCGUUAAGCAUGCCGCCUGUGUAGUACGAUCGCAAGAUUAAAACACAAAGGAAUAGACGGGGACCCACACAAGCGGUGGAUUAUGGGGUUUAAUUCGUCAAUAAGCGAGUAACCUUACCCAGACUUGACAUCCUAUUCGUACCUUUUAGAAAUAAUUGGGUCGGUUCGGCCGGAAUAGUGACAGGCGUUGCAUGGUUGUCGUCAGCUCGUGCCUUGAGGUGUUCGGUUAAGUCCGUUAACGAGCGCAACCCUCGUCGUAUGUUGUAUUUUCAUGCGAGACUGCCCAUCAUAAAUGGGAGGAAGGUGAGGAUGACGUCAAAUCAGCAUGACCCUUAUGUCUGGGGCUACACCCGUGAUACAAUGGUUGGUACAAACUGAAGCGAAGCAGCGAUGCGGAGCAAAUCGGAUAAACCAAUCUCAGUUCGGAUUGAAGUCUGAAACUCGACUUCAUGAAGUUGGAAUCGCUAGUAAAUGUAUAUCAGUCAUGGUACAUUGAUAUGUUCCUGGUCUUGCACACACCG